GUUUUUAUAGUUUAAAAAAAAUAUUGGUCUUGUAAAUCAAAGAUUAACUUAUAUUAUAAAAACU
RNAcentral lists this transfer RNA (64 nucleotides) under Tomocerus qinae. RNAcentral describes it as "tRNA-Thr". The record is from RNAcentral. Lineage: Eukaryota; Metazoa; Arthropoda; Collembola; Entomobryomorpha; Tomoceridae.